UCUAUUGUGACUAUUGUGCAACUGGGUGUUAUAAUGAUUUGUCAGGUAAGCAUUUGCAAUCCUGCCAGUGAAUCUCCAUAUAGGAAAGAACUAGAUAUAAGCUGUGUUGCUUUAGGCUGCUAAAGAGAGAAAACUAUAGAACUCUUAUUUUCAUGGAGCUGCCUAGGAAUAGUGCUAUUAUAGAAAAUGUCCAAGUAUCCCAAUUUUUGGAUACCUCUGUACUAAUAGUAUGACAAUUAUCAACUGUUGAACUGACACUAUAUGUCAGAGGCUCUUCAGAGAGCUUUAUGUUCACACAUUUAAUCCUUCCAUGAUAAAGUAGUUGCUAUUUUAAAAUUCAUUUCACAAAUAAGGAAAUGGAGAUACAAAGAGGUUAAGUGAUUUGCCUACAGUCACAUAACUAUAGAAUAGCAAAGCUAGGAGGUAAACAUAGGGACUGUAACUCUACAGCCAUGAUUAUGUGUACGUACGUAAUCCACCUGAAAAUCCUAUUCAGAUAAUUCAAACAUAAUAUUUGUAUAUAAAUUCAAACUGUUGCAUUACAAUCAAACCGAAUAAGCCUAUUUUAUACUUCAGGCUCAUAUAGCCUUCAACAAAUCUAGGGGAGAAUCUGUUGACCAGAAGAAAGAGGGUUUGUUUCAAGGAACAGAUGUGCAAAGAGGGUACAAAAGGAAAUUCCCAAGAAGGAAAAUUUCCUGGGCUAGUCCACUAAUAUGCAAAGUCCUAGAAAAUUUCUUUUAUAAUUCAAAUGACUCUCAAACUUUAUUUAAAGCAAUACCUAUAAUUUUUUCUCCAUUAAAAUCUUACAAGAGAGUAAGACAAAUAAGACAGAUCAAUGUGUUGCUGCAAAGCUGGGAAAUGCAAUGAGGGCUCAGAGUCUUCAUUGCUUAAUCUGCUCCUCUGCAUCCUCACCUAGUCCCAUGAAGCAUUUGGCAAAUUCAUUGUAUGCCUUUUUUGAUUUUUUAAAACUUAAAAACUUUAAGCAUGAUUAAA
RNAcentral lists this long non-coding RNA (993 nucleotides) under Marmota monax (woodchuck). The record is from RNAcentral. Lineage: Eukaryota; Metazoa; Chordata; Mammalia; Rodentia; Sciuridae.